AAUUUCUUUGUUAAUCUAAUUUUUUUUGUUCUUUUUUUUUUCUUCUUCGUCAAUUAUUAGUUUGCCCAAUCUCUCAUUGACGGUAAAACACAAGUGGAGGAGUACAACACUGAAAUCACAAAGCUCAGGUCCCGACUUUGCCACUACUUAUUUUCCUCAAUAGAUCGAACUAGGAAGUGCAGUUAGUGCUGGUUCGUGAUUGCAGCCAAAGACCGGGUGCAGUGCCAGAAAUGUGGUGCAUACAAGCACAUGCGUUGUUCAAAGUCUGUCUGUGGCAUCUGUAUCUUCUUUGAGAGUAAGUCACAAUAUAACUAAACAAUGUCCAAAAAUGUUUAAAGUGAAAGAUUUUUCGUAAUUUUGCCUUUGCACACCAGGACUGUGUAAUUAAAGUGGACGUUUCAAGAUCCAGUUUUUACACAAAACUAUUUUAGACAUAACUGUGUCGUAUUGUGGGGAUUUCCCAACACAAUUAAAUUGAUAUAGUGCUGUUUAUAUCAUUCUUCUUUAUGUAACAGCACAGUGCAGCACAGCAGAGGGAAAGGAGUUGUGCAGCAUAGUAGGUGGCUAUAGAGGAGGAGCAAUAGAAGUAGCCAGCGAAGAAUGUCAUCAGGGAAAGCAUCAGGCAGCGAAUGACAAAGGAAAAGUUCCUAAGGGAGAGAACAUCUGCAGCAAACCGACAAGUAACAGUGAGAUAGGAAGACUGACAGUCAGAGAUGAAGGCACACAGACUGAAAGAGAUGAAGGCACACAGACUGAA
This is a long non-coding RNA of Haplochromis burtoni (Burton's mouthbrooder), 757 nucleotides long. RefSeq lists it as uncharacterized. The record is from RefSeq and is a predicted model, not a curated record. The transcript is spliced from 3 exons. NCBI's taxonomy places the organism in Eukaryota, Metazoa, Chordata, Actinopteri, Cichliformes, Cichlidae.